Molecule: non-coding RNA, 101 nt
Organism: Crucibulum laeve
Lineage: Eukaryota; Fungi; Basidiomycota; Agaricomycetes; Agaricales; Nidulariaceae
Source: the annotation of a GenBank genome assembly
GGGCUCUUGGCACAGGGGUAGCGCGCACGCUUCGCAUGAUCAUAUAAGACUCAAACAAAUUGUCCUGCGUGAGGUCGUGGGUUCAAUUCCCACAGUGUCCA